GAUCUUUAUUACAUUGUUGAAUCAUAGCUUCAUACAUUUACCUUCUGUAAGGGCCAUCUUUAACAACUGGUUGGCACAAUUCACCCUUCUGCCCUCAGGAGCCAGAAUGGGCCAACUCCAGCCUCACCUGUAUCGCCACCUCUGAGGAGUGGGCUAGGGAAGGGAGGGACAGAAGGUCCCAAACCAAAAGAACAGGGACAGGAAGUGAGACUGGCGGUCCCAACCUGAAACUGAGGUACCCGAAUGCUCCUGCAGUAGUUUUUCUUCCUCAUCCUUCCAGCUUUAGACUGACCUUGAAGUGAGGUGGGGGGGACAGGAGAUACUGACUCAGUAUCUUGUGAUACAGGUGACACAGUGGACUCUGGCAGGUCAUUCCAAACUUAGCUGCCCUGAGACAAUGUCCUGGGGAACCUGUGAGAACCUGUGUCUGCCUGACCCGGGGGCCCAUCCCCACCCACACACCCUUUUGUUUCUCCAAGGAGCACAGUGGGGGACCGGGAGGGGAACCCAGCUUGGCACUGGUGCUCUGCCUGGUAGUAAAUGGUAGUAAACAGCCUGGAGACAGCCAGAGCUGGGGACAAGGAUCUCCACUGUCACUGUUGUCACCUAGUGCAUGGGGGACAGAGGGGGUGGGGGGGGGGAGAUGGCUGGCCUAGUGACCUAUCCCACCCACCAAGUCCAUUUCAUCCUUCAUGUCUCUCUAGCUACAUGAAAUAAGCCCUCUGUUCUUCACCUCCCCGCCUCCAAGUACCUCAAAAAAAAAAAAAAAAUAGGGGAAGGGAUUUGGGUCCCUCCAUCACCAGCCGCUGUGAAGACUGUACGCUCCUCAGGCCACUGCGGGGCGGUGAGGGGAGAGCUGGCCAGCGCCGCCCCACGUGGGGCCUGCGCUCACUCAGGUCCGGUCGGUGCGGGUGGAAGCCAUGCCUCCAUCGGACCUGCGCCACGCCCUCGCCUUGCGAGCUGCGUGCCUUCCGUGCCCACCAGAGAGAGGAGUCCCCAGCCUUUCCAGGAGGCGCACGCACUGCACCAGAGGACAUCAGGCCCGCGUCCCAGACUGUCGCUGCACAGGAUUGAGAGAGGGAGAGCUCGUCCGCGUGCAGCGUUGUCCAGACACUGCCAAGUUGAGCUGUAGGAGUACAGCUGGCGGAGGACUGAGGGUAAGAGCCUAGCAGGAAGGGCUGAAUCAGAGGACUCUUGCUAGGUUCUCUCGCAGAGAACUCUCAGGGCUGCAGGGGCGGACCUCACUGCUGCCUCCCCAUUUCCUCCUCAACUGCCUGUGGACUCCUCACUGCCUUCCUUUGCCCUACCAGGAGGCUCUAGAAAAAGCCAAUCAGUGUGGGUAUGGGGCUGGAUAGUUUCCAAAUUGACCUACCUGUGGGACAGAAAUCAAUUUAAUUGACCCUGUUCUUAAAAGAAAUGAAAUAGAAGAGACAACACCAGUGUGAAAAACAAGCAUCAGGUAAGCAUUGUGUGGGGGAGUUUCUUCAUCUACGUGUGUGUGUGUGUGUGUGUGUUACGUGUGUACACAGCCACACUCUCAAAUGUAUUUCUUGCUAUUGUUUGUGGUUUGUUUUUGUUGUUUGUUUGUUUGUUUGUUUUUUCCAAAGGUAGCAAUUGAGUACCUGGUUGCUUUUGUUCUGGAUUCGAAUUCACCCCGAGUUCACUGUGUAAACUCCAAGACCUGGUUCAGCCUCCUUGGGCUUCAAGUUCUAUGAAAUGGGUUAGCUAUGCCAGCCCCACCCAACUUACAGAUAUUUGCUAAGACUUUGAA
Mus spicilegus (steppe mouse) is the source of this 1771-nucleotide long non-coding RNA. The record is from Ensembl. Lineage: Eukaryota; Metazoa; Chordata; Mammalia; Rodentia; Muridae.